RNAcentral lists this long non-coding RNA (468 nucleotides) under Cyanistes caeruleus (blue tit). RNAcentral's name for it is "lncRNA (ENSCCEG00000013387.1)". Lineage: Eukaryota; Metazoa; Chordata; Aves; Passeriformes; Paridae. The record is from RNAcentral.
CUUUAUUACAGCAACUACUUAGUCACAGAAGUGUUGGCUAGCAAGCUCCCAACUAUCUUAACAAACUCCCAACUCCUGCAACAAACUUCAGGGAUGUGCAGGACAGAUUAUCCAUGCUGGCCUUGUACAAAUCCAAGUGAUGUGGCUCUUAGCUACCACCAUUGAAAUUGCUCUUGGCUUUCUUCCAGCUCCAGGUCUCUUGAUAUUUAAUUUCAUACUGAAAGGAAGAAUAGAACAAAGAGUAAUGAUAAUCUGUCAUGCUUUAGGACGGCUGUUGCUUUCAGCAUCUAGGAGCAAUGUGUCCAAGGAGGCUCUGCUUUGAUAUGGUAUCCCACUGACAUAAAAUUCUGCAAUAGAUCAUGACAAAAACAUCAAAUCUCAUAAGAGGACAGUUGAUGGGCUUCAUUGCUGACGUCAUUGUGGACAGCUGCAGCUCCACUGCCUCUAGGAUCCUAGUAUAAAACUCAC